This 115-nucleotide ribosomal RNA is filed under the name Schizosaccharomyces octosporus yFS286. Lineage: Eukaryota; Fungi; Ascomycota; Schizosaccharomycetes; Schizosaccharomycetales; Schizosaccharomycetaceae. The record is from RNAcentral.
ACGGCCACACCUAGGCGAAAACACCAGUUCCCGUCCGAUCACUGCAGUUAAGCGUCUGAGGGCCUCGUUAGUACUAUGGUUGGAGACAACAUGGGAAUCCGGGAUGCUGUAGGCU